Setaria italica (foxtail millet) is the source of this 1158-nucleotide long non-coding RNA. RefSeq lists it as uncharacterized. The record is from RefSeq and is a predicted model, not a curated record. The transcript has 4 exons. Lineage: Eukaryota; Viridiplantae; Streptophyta; Magnoliopsida; Poales; Poaceae.
CUGGAGACUGCAAGAGACAAUUGGAAACCUUCUUAACUGGAACUCAGAUUCGCUUGAAUAAUUGAAUAGUUGAUUAAGAACACAUGCUCACACAGUAUUCAUCAUUAAGCAGCUACAUUUGUUUUUUAGGACUACAUUUGGCCAUAUGGGGUUUGUUAAGCCUUGUAGGUUGAGUGGAAGCUUCAGGAUUGACCACAAGCAUGUCAAUAUAUAUAUCAGUUCGAAAGCAAUGCUAAAGUGAACGAGUUUGAGUUCUCAUUUGCUUAUGUGAAAAGUGGAAACAGAAAGUGGUCAAGUGGCAGUGAAACCCCAGAUUGUAGAUCCGGAGCCCCAUUAAUCUCUAAUUUACUGGUAGGUUUGUAACCAAGUUGAAGCUUAAUGAGGGUAGACUCCUUAUCUACAAGUUGUUUCUUGACUAAAACUUUAAAGGCCUGAUAUGGCUCAUUUGACUAGGACACAAGGUAUAUAUUCAUGCCUUGUUUCCAAUGCAAAAGUCUUUUCAGGGCUAGCUAGUAACUAAGAUGAUCACAGGCAGAGAAUCAGCUUUUACAUGACGGAUGAAUGGAGAAAAGAAGAUCGAGGAGGAGCGAAGCAUUUUGUGCAUGACCCUGCAAGUGCAGCAACUUUUCCCCUGAUCGAUCUUGAGCUCCUGACCUUCUUGUUGACCACACGGGAACGAGGUGUAUAGGUGGAAGUCCAAGAGAACCCUGGAUCUGACUGAUGAAACUCACUGUUGAAGCCAGAGAAACCUCCAUGGCCGGUGGGGGAUGCCCGGUUGCGAGCUGCCUGCAUAGCUGAUGGGAUUCGAAGAUGGCUUGAACAGCUGCUCGUGCAUAAUCAGGUCAAGCCAAUGAGGUUAGGAGUUAUGACUUAUGAGUUAAUGUGCGUAUGAAAACUACAGUUUGCAAUAAUUUAGUUGGUGGAGGAUGUCGACUCAGUAGAAAUUCUUGAUGCCAAUAGACCUCCAAGAAUAUUUCCUUUUUGACGGAAUGGAACAGUUGACUCCGGUCUUGAUUAUAUAUAAGCCUCGAAGAAGCAAUUUGCAGUCGCAUCGAUGUGUGCUGACAUUCUCAAUACUGAAUAGCAUCGCAUUGGAAUUUUAAUAAUUUUCAUCAAUGUACAUCCUUCCAUGUUCACCCUCAAGGAGUCUUCUCCCUA